AUACGUAGGUGACAAGCGUUAUCCGGAUUUACUGGGCGUAAAGGGCGUGUAGGCGGUCUUGCAAGUCAGAAGUGAAAUUCCUGAGCUCAACUCGGGCGCUGCUUCUGAAACUGCAGGACUUGAGUGCUGGAGGGGAUAGCGGAAUUCCUAGUGGAGCGGUAAAAUGCGCAGAUAUUAGGAAGAACACCGGUGGCGAAGGCGGCUAUCUGGACAGUAACUGACGCUGAGGCGCGAAAGCGUGGGUAGCGAACAGGAUUAGAUACCCUGGUAGUCCACGCCGUAAACGAUGGAUACUAGGUGUAGGAGGUAUCGACCCCUUCUGUGCCGGAGUUAACACAAUAAGUAUCCCACCUGGGGAGUACGGCCGCAAGGUUGAAACUCAAAUGAAUUGACGGGG
RNAcentral lists this ribosomal RNA (397 nucleotides) under uncultured bacterium. RNAcentral's name for it is "partial 16S ribosomal RNA". It matches the Rfam family "Bacterial small subunit ribosomal RNA", at positions 523 to 918 of the family's 1533-position model. The record is from RNAcentral.